Molecule: long non-coding RNA, 364 nt
Filed under: Medicago truncatula (barrel medic)
Lineage: Eukaryota; Viridiplantae; Streptophyta; Magnoliopsida; Fabales; Fabaceae
Description: long non-coding RNA (MTRU_LNC000971)
Source: RNAcentral
UCCUUAGUAAGACUUGUCAAUUCUUGUUGAAUUGAAAGGAGGGUUUUCAUUGGCUGCAAUGAACAAUGGAAGUAGGAAUGAGCAUUUUAAUAUUGCUUCUCAUUUAUGUAUGCGUAAGAGUCCCACAUCUGAGACUCAAGCAAGCAGCAGAACACAUGUUGUGAACCUCCUUUCCACAUUUUUCAUUACAAAAAUAAUGAAGCAAAUCAAUACAUUAUGAUCACCUGCAAACCUUUUAAAAACAUAUAGGGCAAGUUUGAAUUAAGCUUAUUUUAUUUUAAACGUAUGGAAAACAGUUUAUGCAAAUAAAUAAGCUUUUAUCUUAAUUUAUAACUUCUCACCAACGAAAAUCGUAUUUUUAUAA